GAUGAACGCUGGCGGCGUGCCUAAUACAUGCAAGUCGAACGCUGGAGAUCUAGCUUGCUAGAUCGAAGGAGUGGCGAACGGGUGAGUAAUACAUAAGCAACCUACCCACGAAGACUGGGAUAAUCUCUGGAAACGGGGACUAAUACCGGAUAGGUAAUCGGAAGGCUUCUUCUGGUUAUUAAAGGUUAAAACCACUGGUGGAUGGGCUUAUGGCGCAUUAGUUAGUUGGUGAGGUAACGGCCCACCAAGACGAUGAUGCGUAGCCGGCCUGAGAGGGUGAACGGCCACAUUGGGACUGAGACACGGCCCAGACUCCUACGGGAGGCAGCAGUAGGGAAGUUUCGGCAAUGGGGGCAACCCUGACCGAGCAACGCCGCGUGAGUGAAGACGGCCUUCGGGUUGUAAAGCUCUGUUGUAAGGGAAGAACGGUAGAUAGAGAAUAUCUAAGUGACGGUACCUGACCAGAAAGCCACGGCUAACUACGUG
This 486-nucleotide ribosomal RNA is filed under the name uncultured bacterium. RNAcentral's name for it is "partial 16S ribosomal RNA". It matches the Rfam family "Bacterial small subunit ribosomal RNA", at positions 28 to 507 of the family's 1533-position model. The record is from RNAcentral.